GCAUAUCAAUAAGCGGAGGAAAAGAAACCAACAGGGAUUGCCCCAGUAACGGCGAGUGAAGCGGCAACAGCUCAAAUUUGAAAUCUGGCCCCCCGGCCCGAGUUGUAAUUUGCAGAGGAUGCUUUUGGUGAGGCACCUACCGAGUCCCCUGGAAUGGGGCGCCAUAGAGGGUGAGAGCCCCGUAUGGUAGGACGCCGAACCUCUGUAAAGCUCCUUCGACGAGUCGAGUAGUCUGGGAAUGCUGCUCUAAAUGGGAGGUAAAUCUCUUCUAAAGCUAAAUACCGGCCAGAGACCGAUAGCGCACAAGUAGAGUGAUCGAAAGAUGAAAAGCACUUUGAAAAGAGGGUUAAAAAGUACGUGAAAUUGUUGAAAGGGAAGCGCUUGUGACCAGACUUGCGCCGGGCGGAUCAUCCAGCGUUCUCGCUGGUGCACUCCGCCCGGUUCAGGCCAGCAUCGGUUUUCGCCGGGGGACAAAGGCUUCGGGAACGUGGCUCCUUUCGGGGAGUGUUAUAGCCCGUUGCGUAAUACCCCGGCGGGGACCGACGACCGCGCUUCGGCAAGGAUGCUGGCGUAAUGGUCAUCAGCGACCCGUCUUGAAACACGGACCGAGGAGUCAAGCAUUAGUGCGAGUGUUUGGGUGUAAAACCCGCACGCGUAAUGAAAGUGAACGUAGGUGAGAGCUUCGGCGCAUCAUCGACCGAUCCUGAUGUUUUCGGAAGGAUUUGAGUAGGAGCAUUAACGCUUGGACCCGAAAGAUGGUGAACUAUACUUGAAUAGGGUGAAGCCAGAGGAAACUCUGGUGGAGGCUCGCAGCGGUUCUGACGUGCAAAUCGAUCGUCAAAUUUGAGUAUAGGGGCGAAAGACUAAUCGAACCAUCUAGUAGCUGGUUUCAGCCGAA
Molecule: ribosomal RNA, 898 nt
Filed under: Pyricularia grisea
Lineage: Eukaryota; Fungi; Ascomycota; Sordariomycetes; Magnaporthales; Pyriculariaceae
Description: partial large subunit ribosomal RNA
Rfam family: Eukaryotic large subunit ribosomal RNA
Source: RNAcentral